UGGGUGUUAACAUAGUAAGUCCCUGUGUC
This 29-nucleotide non-coding RNA is filed under the name Rattus norvegicus (Norway rat). The record is from RNAcentral. Lineage: Eukaryota; Metazoa; Chordata; Mammalia; Rodentia; Muridae.